AAGCCACAGAAACUGUAAGCAAGUGACUUCUCCCUGGAUGAGUGUCACUUGCUUACAGUUUCUGUGGCUU
RNAcentral lists this microRNA precursor (70 nucleotides) under Callithrix jacchus (white-tufted-ear marmoset). RNAcentral describes it as "microRNA cja-mir-9936 precursor (cja-mir-9936-1)". The record is from miRBase by way of RNAcentral. Lineage: Eukaryota; Metazoa; Chordata; Mammalia; Primates; Cebidae.